Molecule: unclassified non-coding RNA, 5593 nt
Filed under: Hevea brasiliensis (rubber tree)
Lineage: Eukaryota; Viridiplantae; Streptophyta; Magnoliopsida; Malpighiales; Euphorbiaceae
Source: RNAcentral
UUUCUUUAAGGAUGACAACGCCUAGUUUGAUGGUUUGAGGAACAGAAAGAGCAAGAAUCUCGUUGAUGGAAAGAAAACUCUGCUACCGUUGAUAAAUAAGUGCUCCAAUGGACACUCAAAUCGACUGCUUGUUAUGCACAUUAUUUGCUACAUAUGCCCUGAUGUAAUUCGAAAGAAACUUUAGGUGAUAAUGCUAAUGAGGACCAUUGAUUAGCUGCCUUAAUUUUGAAGUAUCCAAACAAGGGGCAAACAAGAAUGCGUUAAAUUGCCUAAGAAAUCACCUUCUCGCAGACACAUAUCAUGAGGUUGCAUUAGGCCUCAUGAAGUUGGAUCAAAGGAAUUGGAUUUGAGGGCUCAAGAAAGGGCCAGAACACAUCAAACAAGUUAAGCUAGUAGGAAAAUUCAGGUGUAGCUGCCAUUAUUAGCUAAAUGGUAUUGGAGGAGUGCCUAAAAUAACCACCACCCACCCAUACGUUAUACAGACAAGCAUUGGCAUACUAUUGGUGCUUCUGAUAUCAUUUUGACAAACCCUACUCGCAGAUGCUGAAGUGCAUUUGUAUCACGUGCAACCCAACAAGCCAUAAUUGUUCUUGCCACAGUGAAUCUUCAAUAUUACAUUGAUAAUCCUUUUCUAGAGCUAAUAAAUUAAAUAAAUAUAAAUCAUUCUUCCUGAAGAAAAAUACAGAAGGUAAUUUUAUAUCUAGCAUACAAAGAAAAAGUUAAAAAUAGAAAACUACAAGAUGGUUUUCAACAGACAUUGCAAAACCAUUCAGUAUACCAUUGGCUGUAGUAAGGGUGCACUCGUAAAUUCCAUAGCUUCUACACUUACCAAGUUUCAGAGUAUUGGGUUGACCAAGAAAUUACUACGUAGAGCGGCGGCGUCUAAUGUAAAGGAAUAAUGCUGUCAAAGCAGCCACAGCAUAUGGAAAUAUGGUCCAAAUGCCCACUACUGUGGCUACAGUGGCCAUGGCAACCAAUGGACGUUCCCUCAGUAGAAAUCCAAUUCCUAGCUGAGCUUGACAAACAAGAAAACGGCCAGCAUUAGCAAUCCAACUGGCUGCAGUUAGAAGCCUAUUGGAAUCAUAACUGAAAUAGACAAAAGGGAAGCUAGACCAUGAGUAGAUAAAUCUUUUAAAACAAUAUAUUCCAACCAUUUGAUUAGCUAGGUUAGAAACUCAUCAAACCAUUGAAAUCUAGUCAUCUUAAGUGCAAUAAUUAAGUAUUAGAAAAUAGUUCAAAUCAAAUGAACGUAAUAAACUUAAGACAUCUUUAUGCAAAUAAAGAAAAUGAUUUUAGGAAUUAUCCCUAUAUAAGUACUAAUCUUUAUCAUUUAGGGUUUUCUUUUAAGCAUUGAUAUUCAGGAUUUCAUUUCAAGUUUUUCAUUUAAGAAUAACAGAUAUUUGAAGUACUUUAUAUGCCAAUUUGCAAGUAUAGCCUGAACUUCAAAAAGAGCAAAUUGUAGCCCAAUCUGUAAUUAUUACUUGCAAAUGUGGCCAAACAUGGUCACCUCUCAGUAGCCUUCUGGCCAUAGUUGCGACUCAUGACUAUGAAUCAAGUAACAAUUGGCUAUUUUUGUAGUUCAGGCAAUAAUUGUAAAUUGAUAUAUAGUUUUGGACCUUUUGGGACACUAUUAUCAGUAUUUUAGGAUUUCUUUUCGUUCUUAUUACCUUUCUGAUUCUUAUUCUCAGUAUUCUUUUCAUUCUUAUUUCUAUUCAUGAAUGUCAUAAUUAUGGUUUUUUAAAAAUGGCUGUUAUAUUAUGUAACAGCUGUUAUUUACAGAAAAAUGGCCCACCGUAAUCAUUAAGUCCUUUAAAUAAGGGAAGUCUAGAAAAUAGGGUGUCGCAGCUAUAACGACUAUUAAGUAACAGUAAUUGCCAUUACCAACCGUUACUUAACAGCCGUUAUUCUAGAGAAGCAACAUCUUUUGGCUCUUUCUUACAUUGUUAUACAUGGGGCAACAGCUAGAACGGGACAUUACCACAUUGGAACCAGAGGUUAUUCAUGAUUCAUAGACGAUAAAAGAGAGUUCAGACAUUGGCUCUCCCAUUAUCAAUUUGGCAUUGAGAUGAUGCUUAUCAAGCAAGCUACUAUUUUUUGUCUUCUUUAUCUAAGAUAACACAUCGCAUAUGAUACAUCUUGUAUGUGCAUGCUGACUGUGUUUGGUGCUUCAAAUAGAGUAAUCUAUUUGAAAUUUGAAGGUUCCUUGGGAAAAAAUAAGGCAAUUAAAGACCAUAUAAUAUAUAGAAGCAUGAUAUGAUUUUAUACACAUAGAAACAACAUGUUUUCUUAUGAAACUAGACAGACCUGUAGUGGAAGGGUGAUCAAGCCACCACAGCAAACUCCAGCAAAGAAAAACUCCGGAGAUAUACCCUGCAUUUAGAUAACAGAUCAUGGUGACCAAUAAAACAUGUUUGAAAUGUGAAUAUGAUGAAUAAACCUCAUUUCAUAGCAAGAAUGUCCAUUUGAGACAGGAUAAAUGUUGCAGGUGAAUCAUCAUGAUCAUCAGACAAUAUUUUUAUUAUAUAUUUUGUAAAACAUAUCUUUCAAUGGUUCAGUGCCUUUGAGAGGAUUUAUUUAUAAACAAAAACUCAAUUAAAUAUUAAGCACAUCAUUAGGUAGGAUUACAUAGAUCUUAUGACCAAUGGAAUAAUAGCAGCAUACCAUGUUCUUGAGAAACAUGAACAGCAUGUGAACGCAGCACCUCCAACAGUGGUAAUUCACUCAUUAUAGCAUCCAAAGAGUAUCUAGAGUAGCUUCUAGUGUAUUAAGAAUUAAUUGCUUCCCUUUUCCCUUCAUUUGGCAUGCAUCUUGCUAGGAAAGAAUUAAAAUAGGUGUGCUCAAUGCAAGAAAACAUAAUAUGAACCGAAAACAUAAUAGUGGCUUUAAAUUUGGCUGUCAUCAUGCCUGCUCAUAGAUCCACUAAGCAGUGCUCUAAUGAAGCAAACGCCAAAAUCACAAGCUCAGCCAUAUUAAAAGAACAGAGAACCAUAGAUGAAAAAAAUUAAGAGCAUGGGAUAAAUCAAGAAAAUCUAUAAACUGAGUCAAAACCAGCAGUCACUCAAGCAUAAGGAAUAUUAUUAAUUUAAUAGUGGUAAGAGAAUGAAAACCAAUUUCCCAAGCGCAGUCUUUAUACAAAUGAUGACCACUAACCAGCGUCCCUGCUAGGAAAGCUGUAGGAUUUCUUACUCCAAGUGAAAACCGCUCCACUGCAAGCCACAAUACAAUGAAGGAUAAGGAAAAUAAAUAUGAAGUACAGAUUGUACAAUCAUGCAUACACAAUAAUAUUGAUAAAACAUUCAAAUCAGUUUCCAAUCAUCAAAAGCAUUCCACCAAUUCAUGUCUCAUUAGUGAAUAGCCAAAGGGAAAAAGAAAAGUAGUACCACCCUGUUAAGUUCUUAAAUAGAAAGCAUCUCAGAUGGUACAGGAUGAUCUAAAUCAAAAUGGGGAAGAAAAACACAAAGAAAGCCUAAAAAAUUCUCUAGAUUUAAGAAUACAAGUUGUAUUGAAAGAAAGAAACAAGAAAUAGGUAGGAAAUAUCGUCUUGAGACUACUAAGAUCAAGCACCUGAUACAAGGACAAGCACCUUAGGCUGGAGCAAAGAUAGUCAGAAGACAGCAGAUAGGGCAUUGUAAAAUAGUGGCUUUCAUAGAAGAAAUACAUGUGGUAGAACCCAAGACAAUUGCAAGUAUUUCAACAAUUCAAUGUCAUCUUGAAAAGACAUGAACUUAGUGAAAAUUUACAGCAUUACUAUGGCUUUCCCCAUAAGAAACCGAGUUGUCUAUCAUACAUUAUAAACAGUUAACUUCCAUUAAAAAGAAAAAACAGGGGGAGAAGAGAGGAGAAAGAGGGGGGUUGCAUCCCUAGUGGACUCUCUGCUUUGUGAGGCUAUACAGAGUCUUCCCCUCAUUGUUUGCAGUAAGCUCUUUCCACAACUUGAACCUAUGGCCUUCUGAUCAAAAAGAAGCAACCUCACCAUUGCACCAACACUCACCCUCCAACCAACUUCUACAAUGCCUGCAAGAUUUCCAUAUUGUUGCACAGUAUGUGUAAUGCUCGAUACCUUCUCUUCACCAAUCCCUAGCUAUAGCCAUCAUCAAUGUUAUCAUAACAAAUAUUUUGAAAACAACAGAAGACAGGCUAGUUGCAAAAUGAAUUUUUUAAGCUUAAUAUUAACUAGGUAACAUCUGUUCAUUAACCAAGAAAAGCAUCUAGAUGUGAUUGAACAGAGAAAACCUUUGAACAAAUAUCAUCAGUUGCCCCGCUUUCCCUGAAAAGCUUCCCAAGGUAGAAUGGUAUCAUAUCACUGAUACAGACUCCCCUGAUGAGUCAUAUUGCAACAUAUUCAUAACUCACAAGGAAAUUAUUACCAUAACUAGUCAAAAUUCAGAGCAGCAGCGUCAAAAAAAUUAAAAACAACUAACAUAUUAGCAAAAAUCAUAAAUCUGGUUUGUUUAUAUUGAACAGCUACUUCGUUCAAUCUAAAAUUAUUAUAAUUCUCCAUUUGUUGAAUUGAUGACUAAUAAUCACUGUGGGAUUUAUCCUUGUUUUAGCUAAGGCUCAACCCUAAAGGUACUCUAAUUGAACCUUGCCUCGAGUGAACUUCAAGGUGCAACAAAGCCUUCUAAAACUUCAUUUGGGUGUAGAAUUAUUGCCACAGAAAAAUCCAUUUAUUGAUCCUACAGCAAUAGCACGUGAUGUACAAAAUAAAAAAGUGAAGUUGACACUAACCAGUACACCCAGAAUACUGUAGACAUUAUGUAUGGAGCAUUUCUGGAGAACGACUCAACAAAAGAUUGCCAUGUUCCAUCCACUGACAGCAUCCGCGAUAAGGUUAUGCCAACCGGUAGAAAGGACAGACCCAAAUAUUUAAAGCCUCCUCACUGAUGAAUAGUCCACAACCAGCAGCCAUGAGCAACCAAAAAUAUAUCCACCCUGGUGCAUAUUCAGGAAGUAUGAUUCUGUAUCCAAAAGCUUUGAAAGUGAAACCCACAGGGGGCGAAGCAAGGGCAGAAGAUGUUGAACUUUCAGCCAGAGAUUGAACACCAAAGAAUGACCCAACACUAGGCCAUUUGAGACCAAUUGAUGUGAUUGUAAUUAUAGCAGCUACGCCCACAGCAAUUGCUAAUAUUAAUAGAAACGAAUUUCCCUCAGCACUAAGAUUAUUUUUCUGAUUUCCGAUUUUCUCAUUGGCACCCUUAUUUUGUCCAUCCAAACUUUCUUCUGUAACUUCAAAAUUGUCAGCAUCUUCUCCCUGAAAGCUCCUGACCCUGAGAAGUGAUGGUCUAAAGAAGCGAGAAAGCAAAACGUUAGUGGAAUGCGGUGGUAAAAGCGUGCAAGGAACAUUGAGAGAGCUUGUGUGCUUGAAUGGCCGUCUGUAGAAGGAAUUAGUUGAUGGUUUGGGGAGAUUUCUUAAGGAAGCGCCAUCGCCAUGUGUUAACACCAACACUGGAGCCAUUUUUAUAGAGCUUUCCUCUGCGUAUGCGAGGUUUCUGGCAGGGGCAGCGAAGUGCACUCAGCCUCUGCUUCUCUGGCACCUGGACGAGCUUAAGUGGGGCUUCUUUGUUUUGGACGUAAGGAGGAUAUUGGGUCCAUG